Molecule: unclassified non-coding RNA, 240 nt
Filed under: soil metagenome
Description: partial contains 5.8S ribosomal RNA, internal transcribed spacer 2, and large subunit ribosomal RNA
Source: RNAcentral
AACCUAGCACACCUGCGGUGUGUACCUGCGGAAGGAUCAUUAAUGAAUAACUUUGGCGUGGUUGUAGCUGGCUCCUUGGAGCAUGUGCACACCCGUCAUCUUUAUCUUUCCACCUGUGCACCACAUGUAGAUCUGGAUAACUCUCGCCUUCUGGCGGAAACAGGGAUUGCUGCGUCGCAAGGCCAGCUCUCCUUGAAUUUCCAGGUCUACGUCUUUACAAACUCCAAUUGAAUGAUGAAG